RNAcentral lists this ribosomal RNA (253 nucleotides) under uncultured bacterium. Its description in RNAcentral is "partial 16S ribosomal RNA". It matches the Rfam family "Bacterial small subunit ribosomal RNA", at positions 524 to 776 of the family's 1533-position model. The record is from RNAcentral.
UACGGAGGGGGCUAGCGUUGUUCGGAAAUACUGGGCGUAAAGCGAACGUAGGCGGCCUAGCAAGUCAGAGGUGAAAUCCCAGGGCUCAACCCUGGAACUGCCUUUGAAACUGCUAAGCUAGAAUCCUGGAGAGGUCAGUGGAAUUCCGAGUGUAGAGGUGAAAGUCGUAGAUAUUCGGAAGAACACCAGUGGCGAAGGCGACUGACUGGACAGGUAUUGACGCUGAGGUUCGAAAGCGUGGGGAGCAAACAGG